This 30-nucleotide non-coding RNA is filed under the name Rattus norvegicus (Norway rat). Lineage: Eukaryota; Metazoa; Chordata; Mammalia; Rodentia; Muridae. The record is from RNAcentral.
UGCACUUGUGUGUUCUUCAGAGUUUCAAGU